Molecule: long non-coding RNA, 1454 nt
Filed under: Felis catus (domestic cat)
Lineage: Eukaryota; Metazoa; Chordata; Mammalia; Carnivora; Felidae
Description: lncRNA (ENSFCAG00000041338.2)
Source: RNAcentral
AGCUAAUAUUUGCAUAGCCACUUUGGGCUUGAUUCAGAGUUUUAUUAAAAUUGUUUUAUUUAAUUCUUGGAAUAAUUCUGUGAAACUUACUGAAGCCACUUAGUGUAACUGAAAAAGUAUAAUCUGCUCUGGAUUGCUUGAAUUCCACCUUUGCCGCUUAACUAGUUGUGUGACCUUGGGCAAGUUAUUUAAUCUCUGAGCCUCAGUUUCCUCAACAGUAAAGUAGGGAUAAUCAUGCCCACCUUAUAGGGCUAUUGGGGGGAUUAAUGAAUAAUACACAAAUAGCUCCUGGUACAUAGUGGGAACUCAGUGAAUGUUGGUUCUCUCCUCCCCUAUUCCGGGCUGGGGCUGGUGCUCUUUUCACUAUGGCCCAGCUGUCUCAUCUUGAUGAUCACUCUAGUUUUGAGGGGCUGAUUAUAUAAAUUGUUCUCCCACAGGCCCAAGUGUGGCAGGAUGAUCCCUCUCAGCUGGAAAUCUGCUCGGUUUGCAAGUAACCCAGGCCCAGCUCCCACCUAUGUGCAGAUCAAUGGACUGGCUCUACCUGGCCUCCUUCCACACCCCUCUGAGGGCCUUUGCCAUUGGUCAGCAAUUCCCUCAGAAGGAGGUGGGCUCACCAUCAGUCUGUGUGUGCAAUGGAAAUCAGGACAAUCAUCCUGCCACAGGGAACAGUGGCAAGAGCAUCAUCAGCCUCUGUCUCACCCAAGCACAUGCAACAUGAGGACCCUUGGCCAAGACUGACACUCCCCUUCCAUGUGCCUAAGCAUCUGGAGAGAAUUGACACCUUUCCCCAGUCACCCAGAUGUUUUGUCUGCAUGUCAAGAACCAUCCGGAAGUGCCUAAGUAUGUCUCUUGUCUGCCAAUAGACCACUGUGAAAGGAUGACAUAGGAAAAUGGAGGGAGGAAACUGUACCCUGCUGCUCUUGCUGAUAUGUCUACUUCAGCAUCAAAGCACUGAGAGAGUGAGCUGUGAUCACUACAGUCUGGUGAGUCUGUUCAUGCUCAUGUAGGUGUGGUUUUUGUUAUUUUGUUUUGAGCAGAGUGGGUUUUUUUUUUUUUUUUUUUGCCAGCCUUUGAAUCUCUGAACAUCUCCUUUUAUCCUCUUGAUUUAUCCAAAGCAAAAUAAUAGAAUUGUAGCAUAGUAUAGUAGAACAGUAAUUAGACUAUGAUUCAGACAAGCCAGGUUCUAGUUUUGUAUGUUCUAUGGGCAAGCCACUUCAUCUCUAUCAAGAAGCAUUUCUAUAGCAAUUAGUCUUGGAAGAUGCUACACACGUUAGGAUCUGUGAUCCUAUAUAUUCUUUCCUUCCCUCCACCCCAAGAUUUACAAUGCACUUCAUCCCUGAUGUACUCUGAAACCUUUUGAACUUGUUUGAUCUAGAGAUUCCCAAAUUUAUUUGACCUAGGAAUCCUGUACCUGAGAACAUCAUGUUAGACCCUGGGAAAAUAUUAUCGGGUAA